UUUCAACCACAAGGAAUGUGGUUCAAUAUUAUGCAUCGGCUAGCUGGGGAGUUCGAUAUGGUACGCAACAGCUAGCUGGAGAGUUUGAAUAGCUUUUACCCUAUGUUCAGGAACUGCUUGAUCAUGUCCUGUUCAAGGUUCAAGUUUUCACCUUUUAAAAUUUUUAUUGAUUGAUCAACUGAAUUUUAUAUAAGUUUGUUGAUUGAAAGUUUUAUUUUCCCAUGUUUGAUAUGUAAGUGGGUCCUUCUAGAAUCAAGAUUCAAGAGGUGAUCUCCAUCUAAGGUUUAUUUUAUAAAUGAAUAUAUAAAAGAAGUUUCCUUUUUAUGCAUAGAUGUUUUAGUGCAUUGAUAGAUGUGGUAGGACAUGAUGGGAAGUUGGAUGCUUCAUUUGGAAUUCUACAAGAAGCCAGGAAUAAUAAAGGAAUAUCGGGGAUCAUAUCAUAUAGCUCAUUGAUGGGAGCAUUUAGCAAUGAGCUCUACAAGCUUGGAUGUCGAACAAUGGUAGUUUCAGGGUUGCCACCAAUGGAGUGUUUACCGAUUCAAAUGGCGUCAAGAUUCACAAGAUCAAAGUAACAAAAUUUUGAUGCAAGAAUUUUUAGUCAGAAACUCAUGAAGUUACCGCGAAUUCAAUCUUCUUUUGCAGUAAGCCGGAUUAUGUAUGCUGAUAUAUACAUUCCGAUGAUGUAGAUUUGGUAAAACACAACCUUUUGUGGUCUAAUCUGGAUGAGGAGCGAUGGGUAUCUAUCAACGACAUUGAUCAAUAAUUUGAAUCAGUUCAAGUUCAACUCUGGCAUGUAUCUUUUUUUAGUUGUUUAUGUCGAGUAGGUUUCAAUAUUUAGCAUAAAAGAGAUUGACCCUAGAUAGCCUUUAUAGGCAUUUUGCAACUUUUUAAAUUUGAGCAUGAAUUCAAGUACUUCAAAAAUACUUUGGAUC
Long non-coding RNA from Helianthus annuus (common sunflower), 932 nucleotides. RefSeq lists it as uncharacterized. The record is from RefSeq and is a predicted model, not a curated record. The transcript is spliced from 2 exons. Lineage: Eukaryota; Viridiplantae; Streptophyta; Magnoliopsida; Asterales; Asteraceae.